This 259-nucleotide ribosomal RNA is filed under the name uncultured bacterium. Its description in RNAcentral is "partial small subunit ribosomal RNA". It matches the Rfam family "Bacterial small subunit ribosomal RNA", at positions 26 to 290 of the family's 1533-position model. The record is from RNAcentral.
AGGACGAACGCUGGCGGCGUGCUUAACACAUGCAAGUCGAGCGGAAAGGCCCUUCGGGGUACUCGAGCGGCGAACGGGUGAGUAACACGUGAGUAAUCUGCCCCUAGCUCUGGGAUAGCUCCGGGAAACCGGGAUUAAUACCAGAUACGACCACUUUAGACAUCUGCUGUGGUGGAAAGAAUUUCGGCUAGGGAUGAGCUCGCGGCCUAUCAGCUUGUUGGUGAGGUAACGGCUCACCAAGGCGACGACGGGUAGCCGG